AAAUUCGUAGCCGAAUUUUCUGAAUUUCAGAUCUAAGAAACGGUGACCGCGGGUUUUCCGGCCAAUUUUCGGCGAAGUUUUCCGGAAUUGGACCUUAACCCAAGAGGUAAAAAUGAUCAUCUCCUCGUGGCUGUUCCCUACUAUUGAGGACGAAGAAGGUUAACCAAGGUUGUUUCCAACCUGGGCCGAGAAGAAUGGAAGCCUUGGAAUGUUGUGAGUGAAACUAAGGUGAACAUGGUUCUUCUAAAAAAAACUAAGGUUGUGAGUUCGAAUGGAAAAGUGUAACAGAUUCAUCCCCUUCCAUUAACUGAAAACAGGGAUCCAAAGGUAUCCUUUCGAACUUGAUUUUAAUUUUUUUAAGUAUUAUUUUUCGGAAACUUCAAGCAUCUAAUUUGUGCAUUAUAGUGCACUAUUUUGGUAGAGAACCUACCUGACGAUCACUACGUGGAGAACCUUAAGAGUAUACUUGGUGAAGCUAGAAGGUAGAGAUAGCAAUUACUAAGGCUCAAGCAUUACGAUGAGCACGUCAUUAUUAAAAAACAUGUUUGGAGGUGUUCAAGAAA
Molecule: small RNA, 563 nt
Filed under: Malus domestica (apple)
Lineage: Eukaryota; Viridiplantae; Streptophyta; Magnoliopsida; Rosales; Rosaceae
Description: sRNA MD05G0150900
Source: RNAcentral